GUGGAGGGUCGCAGGCCGCCGCGCAGGUUGCUGCCCCCGGGAGGCGUCCACGGCCGGGGGCGAGGAGCCCGCCGGGCGCGGUACCUUUUUAGCCCAUAAUUUGUGUCUUGAAAUCUGAGGAUUCCACCAAGAUAAUAUGAUAGGAACUUUCAGUUAUUUGGGGUUGUAUCCUACUUAGACUGAUGCGGUACUACCAGAUUUCCUGAGAGUUUGCUACAGAGGUGCCCACUGCUUGUUAACUGCCACAGGCGAUAAUGCCAUCUCUGCCCCAAGAAGGAGUUAUCCAGGCACCUUCUCCCUUGAAUCUGAAUACAGAAUUACCUUAUCAAAACACCAUGAAAAAGAAAGUCAGAAAGAAGAAAAAGAAGGAAAUCAUUACAGCGAAUGUUGCUGGGACAAAGUUUGAAAUUGUUCGUUUAGUAAUAGAUGAAAUGGGAUUUAUGAAAACUCCAGAUGAAGAUGAAACAAGUAACCUUAUAUGGUGUGAUUCUGCUGUUCAGCAGGAGAAGAUUGCGGAGCUACAAAAUUACCAGAGGAUCAACCAUUUUCCAGGAAUGGGGGAGAUCUGUAGAAAGGAUUUCUUAGCAAGAAAUAUGACCAAAAUGAUCAAGUCGCGUCCUCUGGAUUACACCUUUGUUCCUCGAACAUGGAUCUUCCCUUCUGAAUACACUCAAUUUCAGAACUAUGUGAAGGAACUGAAGAAAAAGCGGAAGCAGAAAACCUUUAUAGUAAAACCAGCUAAUGGUGCAAUGGGACAUGGGAUUUCAUUGAUAAGAAAUGGGGAUAAACUUCCAUCUCAGGAUCAUUUGAUUGUUCAAGAAUAUAUUGAAAAGCCUUUCCUAAUGGAAGGUUACAAGUUUGAUUUACGAAUUUAUAUUCUGGUAACAUCCUGUGAUCCACUAAAAAUAUUUCUUUACCAUGAUGGACUUGUGCGAAUGGGAACAGAGAAGUACAUUCCACCUAAUGAGUCUAAUUUGACCCAGUUAUACAUGCAUCUGACGAACUACUCUGUGAAUAAGCAUAAUGAGCGUUUUGAACGGGAUGAAACUGAAGACAAAGGCAGCAAACGCUCUAUUAAAUGGUUCACUGAAUUUUUACAAGAAAAUCAACACGAUGUUGCUAAGUUUUGGAGUGAUAUUUCAGACCUGGUGGUAAAGACAUUGAUUGUAGCAGAACCUCAUGUCCUACACGCCUAUCGAAUGUGCAGACCUGGCCAGCCUCCAGGAAGUGAAAGUGUGUGUUUCGAAGUUCUGGGAUUUGACAUUUUAUUGGAUAGAAAACUAAAGCCGUGGCUUCUGGAGAUUAAUCGAGCUCCAAGCUUUGGAACUGAUCAGAAAAUAGACUACGAUGUAAAACGGGGAGUGCUGCUGAAUGCACUGAAACUGCUGAACAUCAGGACCAGUGAUAAGAGAAGAAACUUGGCCAAGCAAAAAGCAGAGGCUCAAAGGAGGCUUUAUGGUCAAAAUUCAAUAAAAAGGCUCUUACCAGGUUCCUCAGACUGGGAACAGCAGAGGCACCAGCUGGAGAGGAGGAAAGAAGAGUUGAAAGAGAGACUUGCUCAAGUACGAAAGCAGAUUUCACAAGAAGAACAUGAAAACCGACACAUGGGGAAUUACAGACGAAUUUAUCCUCCUGAAGAUAAAACACUACUUGAAAAGUAUGAAAACUUGUUGGCUGUUGCCUUUCAGACCUUUCUUUCAGGGAGAGCAGCUUCAUUCCAGCGAGAGCUGAAUAAUCCCUUGAAAAAGAUGAAGGAGGAAGAUAUUUUGGAUCUUCUGGAACAAUGUGAAAUUGAUGAUGAAAAGUUGAUGGGAAAAACUACCAAGCAUCGAGGACCAAAGCCUCUGUGUUCCAUGCCAGAGAGCACUGAGAUAAUGAAAAGACAGAAGUACUACAGCAGUGACAGCAGUUAUGAUAGUAGCAGCAGCUCUUCAGAAUCGGAGGAAAAUGAGAAAGAAGAGUAUCAAAAUAAGAAAAGAGAAGAAAAGCAAGUUACAUAUAACCUGAAGCAGUCCAGCCACUGCAAAUUAAUUCAACAGUCCAAUUCCAUGAGGCGUUCAGUCAGUUGCCCUCGGUCCAUUUCUGCUCACUCACCUUUCAGUGGGGAUACUCGCCCCUUUUCUGCUCAACAAAUGAUACCAGUGUCACGGCCAACUUCAGCAUCUCGGUCACAUUCCUUAAACCGGGCUUCCUCCUACACAAGACAACUGCUUCACAGCAAUGAUAGCACCUCUUCUAACUCUCAGGGGAGUGAGUCUUUCCGGCAACUGAAAACCAAAGAACAAGAAGAUGCUUUAACAAGUCAGACCUUGUUUGUUCUCAAGGACAUGAAGGUCCGGUUUCCAGGAAAGUCAGAUGCAGAAUCAGAACUUCUGAUAGAGGACAUCAUUGAUAACUGGAAACAUCAUAAAACAAAAGUGGCUUCAUAUUGGCUCAUAAAAUUGGACUCUGUAAAACAACGAAAAGUUUUGGACAUAGUAAAAACAAGUAUCCGUUCAGUUCUUCCACGUAUCUGGAAGGUACCUGAUGUUGAAGAAGUAAACUUAUAUCGGAUUUUCAACCGGGUUUUUAAUCGCUUACUCUGGAGUCAUGGCCAAGGACUAUGGAAUUGUUUCUGUGAUUCAGGAUCCUCGUGGGAGAGCAUAUUCAGUAAAACCCCGGAGGUGGUGACUCCUUUGCAGCUCCAGUGUUGCCAGCGCCUGGUUGAGCUUUGUAAACAGUGCCUGCUAGUGGUGUACAAAUAUGCAACUGACUCCAGAGGAUCCCUCUUGGGCCCUGGUCCUGACUGGGGUAACUCCAGGGAUAUUUCAGCAUUUAUCCUUGAGCCUACUACAACUGGGAGGAUGCCUUUGCUUUAAUUUUAUUGUGCAGUGAGCCUCUGCAACUUCCUCAUCACCAAACCGAUCUGGAAGAGGUAUUUACUACCAGGAAGUACCCAAUUCUUCAUGAGAACCCCAACGUACAACAUGAAAUACAGUUCAUCUGGAAUGACUCGAUCUAAUGUUUUGUUUACAUCCCGAUAUGGCCAUUUGUGAAACUGAAGGGAAGAUUGCCAUAGGUUAUGCAUAAUAGUAAUUCAUUUAUUUCCUCAAGUUGAAACUGCAAAGAAGGUGACCGUUAAGUGCUGUUUUAUGUAUAUAUGAUAUGUAUAUGUGUGAAAAUACAUACACACAGUCACUCAAAUAACAUAUAUAUUUAUUAUAAUAUAUGAAAAAGCAGAAAACUGAAUAUAAGAUUAGCCUUUCUGAAAAUGUAAUAAACUGUGUUAAAUUGUUUACACAAAAUGUGAAUGUCUAGAGUUUGCUAAGUUUAUAAUUGACUCCUUCCUGCUAGAAAUGUUAUUUUUGCUGCAGAUUAUAUAAAAAAGAAUUGAUAUUGAAGAUCCCAUUGCAGUGUAAAUUAUUUUUUAGACAACACAGCUUUUGACUUAAAGCAUUAAUAGUAUAAUACCUUAUUAUUUCUCUCACUCACAUUAGCCAUUUAGAAUAAAACACAAAAGAUUUAGAAGCCUGAUGUUCCUUGAUGAUAGGAUUAAACAUAAAACGGGUUUAUCAUUACUAUAGAACACUGUACAGUACUAGAAAAAAAUUCCAGCCUGACUCUCCAACGUUUUAACUCCUCCAUGUGAAAAUAUAGUGUGCAUUUUAAUAAUAGUGUGCAUUUUAAGUAAGGCUGUAUUAAGAUCAUAUUAUGAUCUAAAGUGGAAGACAAUCUAGUUGGUUAAAAAUAAAAUGUAAAUUCACUUUUAUUUUUACUUUUCAUAAGGAGUUACAUAAAGGAAUACAAAAAGAUAGUACUGACAGAAUCCUUCUUAUGGCUUUUGUCUCAUGCUUCUCAUUUCUAUUUAGAAAAUAUCUUUGAUGGGCUGAGCUGAUGGUUAAAUAUAGUUCUUUUGCAGAAGAGUUGACACUUCAAACUCAUUUUGGUGUUAUAGGUAAUGUGUUAUCCUUUCUAAGUCUCACAGUGUUGAGGCCAAUUUACAUUUGUUUCUCAUUACACCACAGAAAAUAAGCUACAUGAUUGUGAACAGAAAAUUCAGAUAACACAUAUUACUAGCCAUUGAAUUACCCUUGAAGGUUUUUUUAAAAAAUUAGUGUACAGUAUCAUUUUGUCCAAUGUUAUCAUGAAUAAGUUUCAUAGCAAUUUACUUCCUUUUCUGGCUUACAGUUUUUUAAAACCAAUGAGUGAGCUUUCAGGUUUUCAUAAAAAUAUAAACAGCAGUAUUGAUGGAACUCCCUAGAAAGAGCAAUAUUUACCUUUUAGAAAUGUAUUUAAACUUCUUUCUCAAAUGGCUUGUAAAUCUGUAAAAUUUGUGAAUGUUUUAAUUCCUUUUAAUAUCAUAAAAGCUAUUUCCAGUAAAUCUAGAUAUAGCCCAAAGCAGGAGAACUGAGGCAGGCAAAUUGGCCUGCUUUAAUUCACAGUUUGGAGAGCAGGCAACACAAGGUUGGAAGUUACAUAUAUUUUGAUUUUAAAGUCAUUUUCUGAGAGAGUAUUAGUCCAAGGUAAUUGGAUUUUUCCUAAAUUAUUGCUGGUUACUUGAUUCUUUAUGACUACCUAACAUCCACAUUCAGUGGACUUUUUCUUGCUAGUGCAUUUCCAAAUAAUAUGUGCUUGUCUCUGUGGAAGAAGAAUAAGGAUAUCAGGACUGAAGGAAGUUAAUGUAGUGUGUGUAACUCCAUAAAUUUUUAAAUAUGUUGCACAUUUCUUAGAAUAAAUAAUGCAAAAGUUGGGAUAUUAUGAAAUUAAUAUAUAAGAAUGAUCAACAAUAAAUCGUUUUGUGGAGUAAUUUUAGUCAUUUGUCUUUUAAAUUCAUGAUGUGGCCGUAAAGGAGACACAACUUGAAAUGACUGAUAAAUAGUAUAAACCCAGUUUGUUGGCCAUGUCCUUACUUUAGCUUCAGUCCAAAUGAUUCUUUAAUUUGCUACAGUGUAUGCAUUAGAACUUCUGUCUUUAGUUGUACAAGAAUGAAAUUUUAUUUAAAAUAGAUGAGAAUAAAGGCAUGUGCGCACACGCACAAAUUGAAAGCUAAGAAUAAAUUUAAAUGAACGAAACUACUCAGCUGUUUAAUGAACAAAUUUCAUUUCUCCAGCUACUCAAGUCUGGCCUUAUUUUAAGCACUAGAACUUUAUUACCCACAUUUGCCUAUUUAUACUGAUUGAGUUUGAUAUGGUGAAGUUGUGAAUAAAAGCCAUGUGCUCAUUACUUACAUAUACUACCUGGUAUACUGUGGACUGUGAGUGCUGCAGUGCCAUUCCCUAAUGAGCAACUAAGAAAAGAGGACAUAAUAAUGAACCAAGGACGUCUCAAGAGGCCACAGAAGUGUUUUAGAGGUAUAAAAUAUUUCUUAGUUUUGAUUAUAAAUUUUUUAUAAAACAUAUCAGCAUAAAUGAUAAUACAGGUCUCUCACUCUGUUUGUCUCAUAAAAGAGAAAUAGCUUUACAUAUUUGAAAAACUCUGAAACUACUUUUUCAUCAGAGGGUUUUAGAAGAGAAUUUGGUUUACUUAAAAUCAAAAUACAUUUUCAUUCUGUUAUAGGAAAGCGUGCCCCUUACUCAUUUGGUAAAUCUUAAGAGAAAAUGCUUUCUGAAAUUAAGAUUGAGAUGAAGCAACCUUUUUAUUUUAAAUUAUCGCCCACAAAUAAAGUCUGAGACUACAAAUUAGUUUUCAUCUUAAAUAAUCCAGCCUUAUAUAUUAGUUACCAUUCCUUUAUAUAACUGGUUGAAGGUACUACUGUGAUUCAUAUUUUGAUUAGUUUUACUAGGAAAAAAUUUUAUUUCACUAGCAUUUUAUUUACCUUGAAUAUGUAAAACUUAAAUUGUAACAAGAUCAAAUAUGGAGAUGGCAUGAGGAACUUUUGUCUAGUACGUAAUUGAAUAUCUCUUGUUAACCAUAAGAGGCAAAUAUCGUACAGAUUUUAUAUCAUGUGUCUCAAUUAGGUUUAAAUAUGCAAAAAGUUUCCACUAGUUUCUCCUCCCUACAAUUAAAACCGAACCAAACCCAAUGAAAACUCUUUGGUUCCACCUCAUAUGUAUGCAGAAUUAGAUAAGAGCAACUUCUAGACAUCAAGAAAGGAUUUCAUUUUCUCUUUUUGACUAGUAGAUGAGUAUGGAAUUUUGUUAUCUAACUUGAAAUUUCAGAUAUUUUAAUGUAAAUUAAUCCAAAUGCUUCCUCCUUUAAGAUAGCAAAGUCAUGUUGUGUAAAAAUUCUCUUAAGUCUAAAUUUAUAUAAUACUCAACCUUGUCAGAGUACCAAAAAAUUGAUACUUGCAAAAACUUCAUUAUUUAAUUUUCUGUAAAGUACUGGUUCAUUCUUAAAUGUAUAUUCUUUAAAAAGAUAGGAAAUACCUCAAAAGUGACAGAAAAUAAUUUCCUUUUAUGUUUUGUAAUCCUAACUUACAAUUUGAGUCUUAGUUUUCUUGGUUGUAAGUGUUAAACAAUAAAAAGUAUAACUAUACAAUUUCUUGUGUUCUUGUGACCUGAUAAUUUUUGAAUAUUUGCUUUUCUCUUAAAAUUGAGUUUAAGUUUUCAAGGGCCAUAUUAUCUAAAUCUUGGUUAUUAUUUAAAUGCUUUGAUUGGUGUUUAACUUAUAAAUAAAUUUAAAAUUUAGAAAUAUAUACAUAAUGAAAAUUUUAUUCCUUACAUGGCUUCUUUUUCUUCUUCUCUAACUUUCCUUUGGACUUUGCAUGGACAAAAUCAAAAGAAGAGAAGUCCUGCCUUUUAAACAUUCAUUAUUUUUCCUUAAAGUGUGUGAUGUAUUUUUGCCUCAGCAACAAUAAAAUUUAGACAAAAUA
RNA transcript from Heterocephalus glaber (naked mole-rat), 6790 nucleotides. It is a transcript of the gene named tubulin tyrosine ligase like 7, with no coding region annotated. The record is from RefSeq and is a predicted model, not a curated record. Lineage: Eukaryota; Metazoa; Chordata; Mammalia; Rodentia; Bathyergidae.